CUAUUGGUUUCACUGUUGGAAAAGUCCCACAGAAUAUUGUUUUGCUGGUGUCUUCUGUGAUUAAGGUGAAGCCCUUUCAAAUGGUUCUGGCUGUAGUCAGAACACUCAGUAUUUUUCUGAUCAAACCUAGUUCCCUUCUCAGUACUGGAAGCAUGUGCUUACAGUCAACAUUUGUGUCCAUUUUCAUGUUGACAGAGUUGUGACCUCCACAUGACUUUCCCGAAGAGACAUUUCUAUACCACACUGUUUUUUUCUUUAAGUCAGUGCAAUUGGUCAGGGAAGAUCAACAGGUGGGUAGUAGUGCUUAUUUUCACAAGCAGGAGAACUUGAGUCCAAAUCCCUGGCACUCACAUAAAAAGUGGGGUGUGACUGUGUGUGCCUGUCAUCCCAGGCCUGGGGUGGCCAAUGACGAGAGGAUCACUGGGGUUUGCUGGGCACCAGCCUCGAUCCAGGUUUGAUAAGAGAUCUUGUCUCAAAGUAAUAAGUCUGUCUCAAAGUGAUGGACACACAAAGGUCUCCUUUACCCUCCAAACAUAUAUAGUGUCCUGUGUACCAGCACACACACACCAUACACACAAUACACAUUAUAUAAACACACACAAUACAAAACUAAAAAAUAUCAGUACUGCUGCUUAAUCAAGCAGUUCCCCUUCAGAAAUACAGUUUUAUCCUUUUUUCAAAGCAGAGAUCACUUCUCCCUGGAUCUUUCUUUCAUUGCCAUGUUAAAAUCCCCAUCCACUUUUCUUCGUCCCAAUUCUUAUAGCUCAUGGUGCUAUGUUCAUGUGGGAGUUAGUGGUUGGUCCUGUUUUUCUCUUCAUGCAUCCUGUCACUUAGUACAAUCAGGCAGGUUUACAGCUCAUUAUAGACUUGCCUCUUGAUGGGUCAGUUUAAAUGAAGGUUGGUUAAGAAGAAAGAAAGAAAGAAAGAAAGAAAGAAAGAAAGAAAGAAAGAAAGAAAGAAAGAAAGAAAGAAAGAAAGAGAGAGAAAGAGGGAGGGAGGGAGAGAGGGAAGAAAGAAAGAGAGAGAGAGAAAGAAAGGAAGAAAGGAAGGGAAAAAAAGAAAAGAAGAAAGAAGAAAAGGCCAUUCUUCAAAUGAGCCCAAAUUCUCAGGCGUUUUAGUAAUGGACUAUUAACAGCAGCCCAGUUUGUCCCCAUACAUGCUGAAAACAUGGAGCCUGCCUUGGAUAUGGAUGCUUUAGCUAAGAAUAUUCCUCUCACUUCUAUUUUCUUUCACUGUUGAGAAGACUUUAGAAGGUUGCCUUUCAGAGUGAUAGCAUGAAUACUCAGACCAAACCAACCAGGCUCUUUCUAUAAAUGAACAUUCCACGAGCCUAACGUGGAGUAGCAUCCAUUUCACAGCUCAGCCCUAAAUGCCUCCUGGUUGUAAUUAAGUACUUCAAAGUCUUCCAAACACCCUUUUAGAAAUGACUGCCCCAAAUACAAAAUGAUGUCCAAUCAGAUGUAAAUCAUCCCACAGCAGGGAGGGAGAGGCACGGGAAGUAGUCAUCAGCACUUGGACUAAUCAGAAAGUCUGGUCCCCUGAUGAGGAUUUUCGUCUUCUCAUUUGUCAUUCUAGCCACUGAGGUCUCAAGUGGCCAAUUUGCUCCCUAUUGGUAAUCAGCUGGUUAUUUUUACUCAUUCCUCCCUCUGGGACUGUCAGACUCCUUGGAGCAAUUCAUCACCCAUUGGGGCCAAACUCUUCUAUGACGGGAAGUGAGGGAAGAAAGAUAGUAUUCUGCGAAAGAUAAAAUCGAAGAGUAUUUCAUCAUUUAUAUUCAGUUUUUAAACAAUGAUUUCCCCAAUGAGGCUAGAUUCAGAGCAUGGCCGACCAAGCAUGCCCACCAAGAGCAGCCUACCAUCUUUCAAAAUGGGAAGAGGAUCUGGAAGAAAAUAGCAAGGAGAAGCUUCCUCCACACUGCAAGAACAUCAGUGUAGGCUUCAAGAUGCCCAGGGAAACAACCAAGACACAUAUACUGACAAGAAAACUUCCUGCAAAUGUCUCCAACUGAGGGAGGCUCUUGUCCAUUAUGGUGACCAAGACGAAGAGGCAGAGGGGCGUUGCCAUCUUUCAGGACCAUCUCCACUGCAUCCAUAGGGAGGGCUGUUCCAGGAGACAAUGUAAGAAUGUGCCUGUGUGCCCUGUGCCUGCUUCAGGGAAGUGAAGAUGGGCAGCAUCGUUACUGUGGCCCAGUGCAGGGUCCUGAACAGGACUGUAUCCUUCAAUAUCUGGGGUUACUAAGGGCACUGACACCAAGAAGCAGUUCUAUGAAGUCUGAGACCCAACGGUAUCUGACCCCAAACAGAGUUAUUCUCCCACUCAAAGAAAAAAAAAGAGCAACAAGUAUUGAUGGUAGUGGUUUCCAAGCUCAGAGAGUGAAGUGAGAUAAUCCCUGAGGAGCACUGGGCAGUACCUCCGGGGUGUAAUCACUACUAACCAGAACAACUAAAAUACAUGUUGAAGAGUUUCUUGAUUUAAACACUAGAAUCUACAAGAAGACAAUGAACUUUCUUUCAGACUUCUGGACCCUGGGCCUACACAGCCAGUCAUAUGACUGCCUUCCCUCGGCACCUCUCUUUUCACACACUCCUCCAAAAUUGCAUACCACGUGGUGGCCAGUGGGAGGGUCAGGGGCUGUCACAGGUUUGUCCCACAGUUUGACUGGUGCUGGGAUCAGGUCAGUGCAGCUGCCCACAGCUUUGUCACACUCCUAUGAGUCUAUCUUGCGAUGGGAAUGAGAAUCAUUGUCACCGGCCUUAAGAAUCUGAUAACUCCACAUUUUCUCAAACACAGACCAAGGCUCUUCAUGCCAGCAGACAUCAUCAUCUGGAAAUGUGUGUGUGCUCAUGCACGAUUGCAUCCCUGAGGCUGGGGAUGUGCAAAAGCCACAUAAGUUUCUGGCUAAUGGGGAAGGCAGCUGUCACAUUUUCCUACAUCCCUUCCACUCAUACAUAAACCUUAAGGUAGAUUACUGGAAUGCAUUAAAAAUGAAGCCUGAAGCCAGCUCAAUUCUUAGCUGUUUUGCUUCUUUGGGGAAGAAGCUUAACCUUUCUAAAAGUAAUUAAAACUAACAUUUGUUUACAUGUCAAGUACUUCAUAUGUAUUAGUCAUCCAUCCAGCCAUUUGCUUGUUUAACCAGCAUUGAUUGAAUGCCAGCUUUCUGCCAGGCACUGUGGACACAAAGUUGAAUUGGACAUCUUUGCAUCUUAUAUCAUAAAAUUUUAAUAUUGAUGAUGGAGGUAGGGAAUGAGCAAUCAUUUGCAUAUCUAUUUAAUCAUAAUUUGUUGUCAGUUCAUUCAUAAGGACUUGGUAAACUUCAAUUGCUUGACUGAUGAAUUGUGAUCAGUACUAUAAAGCAGGUAUCUAGGGUGAUUCCUUUUUCCAGGUUGGUAGGCAAUGGCCUAAUCUGAAAACUUGGCCAAGACUUCUAAGGAGAAAUAACCUUUGCAUUAUAAAUUUGAAAGUUAGAUGAAGUUUAUAUGUGUAGUCUUAUUUUGGAGAUCAAAAAAUAGUAACUCAGAAGGUCAUAUAACUUGUUGAAAGAGCUGGAGUCUAAAACAAAACAAAACAAAAGAAAAAAAAAAAAACAAACAAACCCAGGACUGAGUACUUUGUCUAGAGGAGACUGCAGUUCUAGAAGUAGGAAAGUUCAAGACCAGGGACAACCUCUGAGGGAGCACCAUAGCAUGUCAUAAGACGGCAUAUGGCAUCACACGGCAGAGCAAAUGUUAGAGCUGAGUGACACUCCUGCAGGAGACAGGGUUGCAUGGCGAGAAGGAGGCAGCUGAGCAAUCCCAGGAACCUGAUGUGCUUUUACAGAAACCAACUUAGUUCCUUGAGACUCAGCCUAGCUACAGGCGAGCAUCCAUCCUUCAGGAAUGGAUCUGAAGGCUCAGCUGGGAAAGUACUCGCUCAGAAAUACAAGGGCCUAGUUCAGAUCCCCAAUAUCCACAUAAAAAGCUGUGCCUGGAAUCCUAGCCCUGGGGAGACAGACAGGAGAAUCCCGGGAGUUUCUGGUCACCCAGUCUAACUGAAUCAGUGAAGUCCAGGUUCAGUUAGAGACCUUAUCCCAAAGAUAAGGUAGAGGUCAAAAGAAGGAGAUGCCCAACAUUGACCUCUGACUGCCAUGAACACGCCCACAUUUGUGCAUAGGCACUCAUACAGAAAAAUAUUCACAUACAUGAACACACACACACACACACACACCCCACAAAGAACUGAGCCCCAUAAUCUAACUACCUAUUCUGCUCCCAUCUCUUAACGUUCCAACACUUUUCAACUGGGGGCAUGAAACCUUGAGGGAACAAAUAAGUCCUGAGCCCUAACACACUGUACUUCCUGGUGUCCAUUUUUGAUAGAUCCAGUUCUAACUCCAGACCUGAUGUUCUUUCUGGCCGGCUGUGGCUGAUGUAAUUAGAAAUAUAUUUUAAUAUUGCUAAAAAUAUUUUUUUCCGAAGCCUAUAAAAUCUGUGGCUGGGGUCUCUGAAGAGAUUCUGGUGAAUCUGGUCCAGUGGACUAAGAAAAGUCAGUGUACAUUUGUGUGGGUUCCACAAGUGAUUGGGUGCAGAGCACUGGGGAAAAUGUUGUCUGGGCCUCCCCGCCACUCUACUCCAGGACUUACAGCACUUCACAGUGCUGUAAGGAAAUACCACUGUAAAUCAAGGCUCUCAACGUCACCCUCAGCCCCAGCACUCUGGACCUUGGGAUCUCCAUGAAGCUAUGGCUACAUCAGUGCUUUUCAACCCUCAGUAAAUGACAGUCAUCUGCCCCAGUCUGGACAACUGGCCCUGAAUCUCCAGGGAAAGAGUCCAGGAAUAGGCACUUACUGGAAGUUUCCAUUUGAUGGAGUCGCAGAUGAUCUCAAAGGUCCCUUCUGACUUGGAAAUCCUCUGCAUCUACGAAAUAAGUCAACACUACAGAACAGUGGCGAACACAGGCAACACUUGAGAAAGCUCAGCUCUGGGGAGUGGGGCUGGGUGCUGACGCAUAGCCAAGACCCGCUGCUCUCCUUGGCAGUGUCUUUGUGAAAAUAGUAACCCUUUUUUUUUCUCCCUGACUGAUUUAUGUGACAGUUGGAAAGCAGCUUCCAGAACAGCAUGUUCCUCCCCUCAGACUAUUAACAUAAACGUGCGCAUGGGCUCCGGGCUCCCACUUCUCUGUGUACACUAGGCUUAAGGGGCCUUGAAAGCCGCAGGCCAGCUGAAGAAAAACCAGAGAGAGGAAGUGUUGUUAGAGACACAAGAAUGAAAAGGGGAAAAGGACAGGAGGUUGCUAAGAGACAAUGUCAAGCUGGGCCAUGGGAUUAACAGCCGAAAUCAAAGCAAGAACUUAAUGGUAUAUUCUUGCAGUAGCAGCCUUCUCCAAGCACAACGGGGAGAGGGUGAUUACCCAAGUAAUUCCACUCCAAAUCAGGCGGAAAGGGCCCCCUUUCCUUCUUGGCCAGAUGAAAUGUAAAGACCAAGUGAUUUAAAAAAUAAUACUAGCUAAUACCAUCCUCAGGCUUAACUGAAGGCUGCCUUGCGAUCUUUUCUUUGCUGCUGAGUACUAAGAAUCACUAAUGCCGAAAUUAUUUUCAACCUGUAGGUUGAGAGUGGUCAAACAUUUUCCGAGAUGUAUUUGGGAGGCUAUGGUUUACCAAAUGACUAUGAUGAUAUUUCAUAGCCCCGUGCUUUUGUUUCACAUAAAUCGGUUUGUUGGAUUUCAGCAACAGCCUUGUGAACUGGUUGUUUGCCCCCUAACCCGGCACCUUUGCAGAAGAAAAGGCAUCAAGAGUCUCAGCAAUUUGUUCAAAACGACUCAGCCACUGGGGAACAAGGAACUGGGGCAGGAGUUCCUAGGAACUGGAUUUGAACCUUGCUCCGGCUGACACCUCACACUCUGACUCAGUUUUCACAUGUGAAAAAUGGAGACACAACGUACAGAGCUGCUGAGCUUAAAGAUAAUACAAUACACACGCUAUAUGUUCCCAAAGUAACUGUAGAUGCUAUGCUCCUCCUCCUCAUUAUCAUCACCACCACCACCACCAUCACCACCACCACCACCAUCAUCAUCAUCACCAUCAUCAUCAUCAUCCUUGUUUUGCAUUUCAUGCUUAGAAUUCUGAGAUACACAGCAAGGAACAAGUGUUUUAGUGGGUUUAGGUAUGCAAGAGGCUAGUUAAAUGGUGAACCUCCUUAGAGAAAUGGAAAAUCUUGCUGCCAUUCAUUGGGCCAAACACCCACCAGCUACCAAGGCAGCAUCCUUUUGGGGUUUAUGAAGGGUCAAGAGCAAGAGACUUCAUGGGGUCAGGUUCUGUUUUACAGCAGGUGCUUGGUAGAGCGGGAGGAACUGGUGACUUCUGUCUGACUAGCUACCAGAAUCCUUUAGGGGCUUGGUCACACAACUUUCUAAGCCCUGGCCCUUGAGUGCCUGAAGCCACAGAUCUGUGAUGGCUCCUGAGAAACACAGGCAAAUGGAAACUUGCAGCUAACACGAAUCAUCAGCCUGCUUCUGAAACCACUGGACAUGGAGCACAAGCUUUAGAUCCAGAGCUUGGGAAGCAGAGGCAAAGACAGAGGCAGAUGCAGUCCAGUCUCUAUAAGUCUGAGGCCAGUUCACACAGUGAGUUCAAGAUCACCCAGGGCUACAUAAUAAAAGCCUGUCAAAAACCAAAACAAAGCAACUAAACAAACAAAGGAAUGAACAAAUCCUACCACCCCCUGGUUGAUAAGACUUGGAAAGCCUUCCUAUUCAUUUACGCCUGGAGGAUUCAGAGGAACUGGUGGAAUUAUGUUUUGAUCCAGAGAGACUAUCACGGUCUUCCAUUGCGCAGGUACACACCAACUUUCAACCUUCCUGGGCUCCAUGCUUCACGUUUAAUACAGUGGCCUGCACUGGUGGAAGAAAAGACCUUGAGAAGGGUUUGUGUGAGGGCAGUGCACAGACUUGUAUACCAGACAGGCCUGGGUUCAGAUCCCAGUGUGGAAUUAAGGAGGGAGAGAGGACACACUCUAGCUGGGAAAAAGAAAGAUAUGGAGUAUGGGGGCUGUGGGCCCACCCUCGAAGGCCAUGAUAUUCAGAGUAUUUAAUGUCACCACCAUCAGCUACAUAAUGCAAGUGAAAAGCCAGCAGGAGAAAUAAAAUCCUCAGUUAUGGUUUAGUAAUUGCUUUCAAGACAGCAGGAAAUAAAAACGCUCCCAAGUCCUUGUAUAGUGGCAUGUUUCCCUUCGUGGACUAGCAUGCACAUGAGUUACAUUUUCAUGGCUGGCUUUAAAUUAGCCUUAAUUUCUCUGUCAAGUAGAGUUAAAGUUCACUGUAAGAUAUUUCAUGGCUUGUCUAAAAGUGAUGAUUUCAAGUCUUCUAAAUAUUUAUGCCAGUGUUAUUAUUUAGGAAAAUAACCAAGAAUAAAAGGCUAGUCUUCACCGCUAUUAUUGGUCUGGGGUUCUAACAUAUGUCCUAAAAUAGUUCAUACUUGGAAAUUGAGUUCUUCAUUAAAAUGCCACUGCAAUUAGAUAUGUACUGGAAAAGAAUAUGAAUGCUGGCCUCUUUCUAUCUACAUAAUCAGAGACAAUAUUCAUAAACUCUUUAAAUAUUUUUUCAUUUUGAUUCAAAGAUAAUUGUAUCUGAUUUUGAUGGUUUCAAGGAAGGUAGAAUGAGAGAACCAAUAUUAAGUGCUGGUAAAAGUUUGGCACAUACUAAAGGCUUACAAAAUAGUAGCACUCAUCUUUGUUUUGGUCCAACUCAAUUUACACUAAGUAUCUGUCUCCUGUGGCUAAGCACCAGUACCUCCCUGGAUUUAUGUCCUCUCAUCUGUGAAAUGGGAAUAAUGAUAUACAUUUACAAUGUUGUCAAUGUGACAUGGGUGAUGACUCCAUGCAAAACACCUUGCAUCCUGCAUAUUAAUCAGUGUUGACUUAUGUGCCAUUUGCAGGGAUGAUGUGCUAUCUUUUUUGUCCAAAACUCUUAAAUCUUUCAUUCAAAAACCAUACCAUACAUUCAUUGGUAUAAGUACAUCUCCAUCUAUUUUGGAGCCCUAGAAACAUAGUAGCCCAAAGGUGUGUUGUCACCACUUUCGGUUCUCAGGGAGGGCUUCCCUUCACUGAGGAAGAGGCCAAGAGCCAAGUGUAAAGAAGCAGUGUUGCACCUAGUGAGACCCCGGGCCCUUUUGCCUAGGGAACUUCCGUUAUUAUCUUCUAAAAUGUUAUCAUCAACCAUAACACUGACUGACACCAGAUACAAUGCAAGAGACUAAGGGCAGAGUGAUUGUGUUGGAGAUUUUAUGACAACUUGACAGAAGCUAAAGUCAUCUGAGAGGAAGGAACCUCAACUGAGAAAAUGUCUACAUAUGUCAGGCUAUAGACAAACUUGUGGGGAAUUUUCUUAAUUAGUCAUUGAUGGGAGAGGGCCCAGCCCAGUGUGGGUGAUACCACCUCUAGGCUGGUGGUCUUGGGUUCUAUUUCUUAAAAAAAGAGCAGUCUGAGCAAGCGAUGGGAAGCAAGCCAGUAAGCAGCACCCCUCCAUACCCUCUGCAUCAGGUACUGCAUCUCUGUUCCUGCCUCCAGGUUCCUGGCCUGUUUGAGUUCUGUCCUGACUUCCAUCAGUGAUGGACAGUGAUGUGGAAGUGUAAGCCAAAUAAACCCUUUCCUCCCCAA
Molecule: long non-coding RNA, 8627 nt
Organism: Peromyscus californicus insignis
Lineage: Eukaryota; Metazoa; Chordata; Mammalia; Rodentia; Cricetidae
Exons: 2
Source: RefSeq, a predicted model, not a curated record